UCCCGCUCUCCCUCUCUUUCUCACCCUCUCUCUCUUGCUCUCUGUCUCUCUCUCUCUAUGGACAUUCCCUCUCUCUCCCUUUCGCUCUCUGGCUGGGCUGUAUUGUAAUACACAUAUAGACACUACUUAGUGCUUUGGAAAGAGGGUUGAGCCUCACACACACAACCAGAGCAGCUUCUCAAUGGGGGGACGGAGCCAAGAGGAGACAGAACUAUCGUUCCGCUGGAGCCAAUCUCCGUCCGUGUCUGAGAAGUGAGGAGGCAAAUUAACUCCCUGUCGUCACGAGAGGGUUUCAUCCUCACAGGAGUAAGAAGAGAGAGAAAAGGGAGAGGGAGAAAGAAGGAGAGAAAGGAGCUGCUGUCUGCGCUGAUAUAUAGGUGACCUGAGCAGCUUUCCAUCCUGUAAACCCUGGCUAGUUUGUGACAGAGUGUCGUGGCUGUGAGCUGAGGAGGUUUCUGGUGACUGCACUCUCAGGAUUUCAGACGGACAGUGAGAGGAGGGAGCCGAAACAACAGAGCUCCUCACCCUCUUAUCCUGUAGCGCUGUGCUCAUUUACACCUGGAUCUUUGUUGGGAAUCCCUGGCCUCAGACUAUGGAUGGAUUUAAGACAUUGUGGUGAGUCUGUUGGACAGACGGUGAUACUGACAGCAGGGCUCCUUUUCUUCUGACCAGACAGAACACUCAGCCGCUCUGCCAUGUCCUGGUUCCUGGGCCUGUGGAUUAGCCUAGGCUUCCUGCUGCUGUGCCAGGCCACACUGUACGAGACUAUCCAACAGCACCACGUUCCGCGGCCCGGACGCAAUGCCAUACAGAUCCUGGAAGGAGGUACGUGUGAGGUGAUCGCAGCCCACCGGUGCUGUAAUAAGAACCGUAUCGAGGAGCGCUCCCAGACUGUCAAGUGCUCCUGUCUACCGGGAAAGGUGGCCGGGACAACACGCAACAAACCCUCCUGUGUGGAUGCGUCCAUUGUGAUUGGGAAGUGGUGGUGUGAGAUGGAGCCGUGUCUGGAGGGAGAGGAGUGUAAGACUCUGCCUGAUAACUCUGGAUGGAUGUGCUCCUCUGGGAACAAGAUCAAGACCACAAGGAACACUGCGCCAUACUCACCUUUUUAGCUCUGGAAGCAAAAUGCAGAGGAUGCUUCAACAGAAACUGAGCUGCAUUCUUGCUUCUGUAAAGAGGGGGAGCCCUGCUUGCCUGUACUCUAUCAGCAGCAGACAAGGCAGGCCUUUUGUUUGAGGAAGUCACAGUGAAGGGAACUGGGGAGGGACCCCUCCAAACACACGCCCAGCAUAGAUCCACGUUACCCGCUCCAUUGGCUAAAUAGAUCAAUCCAUUUCUUCUCACGCCAUACAAUUACAUGGAAAAGGGAGAGAACAAAGAAAAGCUGAAAUGUAACAUCUUGUCUUCAUUCUGCUUACCUGCCCCUUUUGUUAUAAGGAUCUAAUUAUGUGAAGGCUUCAAUAAAAUCAAGAAUCCCUACCAGACAGACAGUACAUGUCACCAGACAGAUUGACUGUUAGCCCAGGAUCAUUCAUGGCUGAGAGAAGAAGAAGAAACUGAUAACAGCCAUUUCACUAAUACUUUGGUAGUUUCCUAGCUGUUGCCUCAGUAUGUAAAUUCAGUAUAUGCUUUGCUGUUUCAAGAGGCACAUGUUGUCUAUUAGAAGUACCAGAAGGCACAUGUUCAAGCCAGUCACAAAUAACAACAGGAUAUAUCCCAUCUGGGAGGCUUGUUCAGAGCAAAGUGCAACAAACGCAUCACCAUCAAAUGUGUUGAAUAAGAGAAAUCAUAAAUCAAUUGAUCAAUUGAAAUACUGGCACCACUCCACACAGUAAAAUCAUGUUUUCAACUUACACUACCGUUCAAAAGUUUGGGGUCACUUAGAAAUGUCCUUGUUUUUGAAAGAAAAGCCCAUCAGAAAUACAGUGUAGACAUUGGUAAUGUUGUAAAUUACUAUUGUAGCUGGAAAUGGCAGAUUUUUAAUGGAAUAUCUACAUAGGAGUACAGAGGCCCAUUAUCAGCAACCAUCAGUCCUGUGUUCCAAUGGUACGUUGUGUUAGCUAAUCCGUUUAUCAUUUUAAAAGCCUAAUUGAUCAUUAGAAAACCCUCUUGCAAUUAUGUUAGCACAGCUGUAAACUGCUGUUCUGAUUAAAGAAGCAAUAAAACUGGCCUUCUUUAGACUAGUUGAGUAUCUGGAGUUUAAACAUUUGUGGGUUCGAUUACAGGCUUGUUCUGAGAAAUGAAGGCUAUUCCAUGCAAGAAAUUGCCAAGAAACUGGAGAUCUUGUACAACGAAGUGUACUACUCCCUUCACAGAACAGUGAAAACUGCCUCUAACCAGAAUAGAAAGAGGAGUGGGAAGCCCUGGUGCACAACUGAGCAAGAAGGCAAGUACAUUAGAGUGUCUAGUUUGAGAAACAGACGCCUCACAAGUCCUCAACUGCCAGCUUCAUUAAAUAGUACCCGCAAAACACCAGUCUCAACGUCAACAGUGAAGAGGUGACUCCGGGAUGCUGGCCUUCUAGGCAGAGUUGCAAAGAAAAAGCCAUAUCUCAGACUGGCCAAUAAAAAUAAAAGAUUAAGAUGGGCAUAAGAACACAGACACUGGACAGAGGAACUCUGUCUAGAAGGCCAGCAUUCCGGAGUCGCCUCUUCACUGUUGAUGUUGAGACUGGUGUUUUGCGGGUACUAUUUAAUGAAGCCUUCAUUUCUCAGAACAAGAAUAGACUGACGAGUUUCAGAAGAAAGUUUGUUUGUUUCUGGCCAUUUGGAGCCUGUAAUCGAACCCACAAACAGUAGUGUAUAUGUUUUUGGUAACAGUUUACAUUAACCAUCCGUCCACAUUUUGCUUUCAUACUAAUGACAUGACAGCUGAUGUAAGCUUAAAGGUGUAGUCAUGUAACGGCUGUCUUCGUCCUCCUCGUCUGAGGAGGAGUAGGAGAUAUCGGACCAAUAUGCAGCGUGGUGAGUAUUCAUAUUUAUUUAGAAUACUUGAAACAAACAAACAAAAAUAACAAAUAAACGAAUGAACACGAAACAGUCCCGUAUGGUGAACAAACACAGAAACAGGAACAAUCACCCACCAACCACAAUACAAAACAGGCUACCUAAAUAUGGCUCCCAAUCAGAGACAACGACAAACACCUGCCUCUGACUGAGAACCAUAUCAGGCCAAACACAUAGAAAUAGACAAACUAGACAAAUAACAUAGAAUGCCCACUCAGAUCACACCCUGACCAAACAAAACAUAGAAACAUACACAGCAAAUUAUGGUCAGGGCGUGACAUGUCUACAGUUACUACAUACAUUUUUGGACUUAUAAAUUAAUUAUAUGUACCCAUUGAUUGUUGAAGAAUAUACUGCAACUUCUAAAUGCCUUAUGAGCGUAGUUCAAUUGUCUUACCCCAUCCGAACCCAAAAUUUGAUCUUGUUUAACUCCAAUGUUUUUAAACAAAGUAAAUGUAAACUUAUACUGUAGCCUCAAAACACGGUUAAAACUAGCCCCAUCCCUCCACUUUCUAAUUGUUUCAACUGCUGAUUACCGCAUUAACGGUCUUAACAGUAGACAAAGUAGAAGACAAACUUUGGUUUUGUAGUGGGGUAAUAUUUGAUAUGUGUAUAUUAUACUGUGUAUACUUCACACACGACCCGUAAUAAGACCAUGUCAUUUGUACAUAAACAAAGUGUUUUAGAAAGUAUAUCUGACUCCAUUUAACAUUAUAGUAAAAUCUUGUGCAAUCAAGUAGUAUGUGUUUAGCUGACCAAGAUCAAGGAAUGGUCAUGAGAAGUGAAUGUCAAAGGAAGUAUUCACAUUCAAGGCAUAACGCUUAAGUUACAAGGCAAUACUGACAUUAACUUCUUCGGGGUAGGGGGCAGCAUUUUCACUUUUGUAUAAAUAGCAUGCCCGAAUUCAACUGCCUGCACCUCAUCCCCAGAAUAUAAGAUAUGCAUAUUAUUAGUAGAUUUUGACAUAGCAUCAUUCUAAGGUUAACUAGGACAAAGCAUGAACAAAGAGAUGCGUAUUAGGCCAGAGGCCUAGAAGCCUAGGAAAUUAGAAUAUAUCACACAACCUUUCGCCAAUGGACGGGAUACAGUAUAAGAGAGAGAGAAAAACAGACCUUAAUUUUAUUUAUAACAUCUGAAGGUGUAAAACCUACCACCAUUGACCAAUCAAACAAUACCAAUGCACAUGGUUAGCAGAUGUUAUUGCGAGCGUAGCGAAAUGCUCUUGCUUCUAGAUCCGACAGUGCAGCAUUAUCUAAGAUGUAAUAUCUAACAAUUCCACAACAAAACCUAAUAUCUAACAAAUUCCACAACAAAACUUAAUACAUCAAACAUUUUCAUAAAAAACAAAACAAUAAAGCUUUGUGUUCCUGUUUUUUUUUCUUUUUUUCUCUCGCUGUUGGUGUUAGGUGCACUUGAUUCAGCAGCCCUAGCACCGGGAAGGCAAAGUGUUCCCAUUUUUAACCAUUGCAUGUGUCUGAAGGUAAAACUCCACCUACCCAGCAGUCCCAGAUAGCAAAUCAAGUGCACCUAUAGGCCUACCACUGACCAAUCAGAUAGCUCGUAACACCGUGUCUGCACAGUGUCUGCACACUGUAAUAGGAAGCAUCGAACGCACAGCAAAGUUGAAAAUGUGAGAUUUAAAAAGUUUUAAAACCAUGAGUAGAGACAACAGCAAAGAGCUGCUGUGUUUAUGAGUAAGUUUAAGUUGUUAUUCAGCACUGUCAACACUUUGUUCAACUGUUUAAUAGUUCAUAAAAUGCACGUUCUCCUAAAUUCCACUCACACUACAACCAGCACUGCAGCUGCAAUGAAUGAGUAUAGCAAAGUGUUUCGAUAAGCUUGCGUUGUUGUUAUUUGAGGCAUGUCUUUUUUAAUAUCGAGGAAUUUUUCAUCAACAUAAAUUGGUGCACGAGGCAGAAAUACUGCAGCUGGAAGACUGUGUCCCCUUUUCUCAGCGGAAAGAGAGACGAGGGAUGGUGAAUCGGGUAAGAGGCAGCCUCACAGCUGCUCCCUCCCUCCCCUCAAACUGACUAUCAGAUGCAGGCCAUCAGUCCAGUAAAAAAAAGUGAAUUAUUAUGCUCACUCAGCUGUUCGUCACAAGGAAUACAACAAAUUAUCCAUUACCAGUGUGGUCAUAUACCUUAAAUGUUGAAUUUCAAAAUUGUCUUAGAAGAACAACAUUGGCAGGACAAUUCAAGCAUAUCCAAUAUGCAGUGAUAAUGUAUUGGGCCUAUCGCCUACUGCACAAACCUCAUUGCUACAGAACUGUUUUUAAUUGGUUAAUGUUGCAUAGGCAUACUCUUUUUAAGUCCUGUUAUUUUUUUUCUGAGCGUUAGAUCUCGGCUUGCAUUUUGAAAAUGUUAGUGACCGCUGCUGUAGAGAGAGAGAUACAUUUUGGCCCUCAGAGGGGGGAAGGGCGUACUGGUCCUUAAAGCAUUGUCAUUUGUGUUUUGCUGCACCAUUUGCCAUGCAGCCCCAGGUGACAGAGAGACAUAGUUUAGGGCCGAGCCUACAGUGUCAUAAAAGGAUUUGUCAUAAGCUGACAUCAACUGCCUUCACUGUUAAUGUCAUCUGUCAUGUCAUUCUCAUAACAGUGUUAUGUAGGCCUUAUGAUGGAAGGUUCAUGUAAAGUGGUUCUGCUUGCAUCUACUCUUUUGCUCUAUACACAUUGUCAGUGUCACAUUAAAUGGAUCUUGAUGUA
RNA transcript from Salvelinus fontinalis (brook trout), 5706 nucleotides. It is a transcript of the gene named chemokine-like protein TAFA-1, with no coding region annotated. NCBI's taxonomy places the organism in Eukaryota, Metazoa, Chordata, Actinopteri, Salmoniformes, Salmonidae. The record is from RefSeq and is a predicted model, not a curated record. The transcript is spliced from 6 exons.